Molecule: ribosomal RNA, 396 nt
Filed under: uncultured bacterium
Lineage: Bacteria
Description: bacterial SSU rRNA
Rfam family: Bacterial small subunit ribosomal RNA
Source: RNAcentral
AGUGAACGCUGGCGGCAGGCCUAAUACAUGCAAGUCGAACGGCAGCACAGCAGAGCUUGCUCUGUGGGUGGCGAGUGGCGGACGGGUGAGGAAUACGUGGGAAUCUGCCCAGUCGUGGGGAUAACGUAGGGAAACUUACGCUAAUACCGCAUGCGCCUUCGGGGAAAGCCGGGGGACCUUCGGGCCUGGCGCGAUUGGAUGAGCCCACGUCGGAUUAGCUAGUUGGCGGGGUAAAGGCCCACCAAGGCGACGAUCCGUAGCUGGUCUGAGAGGAUGAUCAGCCACACUGGAACUGAGACACGGUCCAGACUCCUACGGAAGGCAGCAGUAGGGAAUAUUGGACAAUGGGCGCAAGCCUGAUCCAGCCAUGCCGCGUGAGUGAAGAAGGCCCUCGGG